UACGUAGGGACCGAGCGUUUGUCCGGAUUCAUUGGGCGUAAAGAGCUCGUAGGCGGCUGUUCAAGCCGAACGUGAAAACUCGGAGCUCAACUCCGAGCCUGCGUUCGAUACUGGACGGCUAGAGUCUGGUAGGGGGAUCUGGAAUUCCUGGUGUAGCGGUGGAAUGCGCAGAUAUCAGGAGGAACACCGGUGGCGAAGGCGGGAUCCUGGGCCGUACUGACGCUGAGGAGCGAAAGCGUGGGGAGCAAACAGG
RNAcentral lists this ribosomal RNA (253 nucleotides) under uncultured bacterium. RNAcentral's name for it is "partial 16S ribosomal RNA". It matches the Rfam family "Bacterial small subunit ribosomal RNA", at positions 524 to 776 of the family's 1533-position model. The record is from RNAcentral.